Molecule: ribosomal RNA, 450 nt
Filed under: uncultured bacterium
Lineage: Bacteria
Description: partial 16S ribosomal RNA
Rfam family: Bacterial small subunit ribosomal RNA
Source: RNAcentral
GUAGGGAAUCUUCGGCAAUGGGGGCAACCCUGACCGAGCAACGCCGCGUGAGUGAAGAAGGUUUUCGGAUCGUAAAACUCUGUUGGUAGAGAAGAACGUUGGUGAGAGUGGAAAGCUCAUCAAGUGACGGUAACUACCCAGAAAGGGACGGCUAACUACGUGCCAGCAGCCGCGGUAAUACGUAGGUCCCGAGCGUUGUCCGGAUUUAUUGGGCGUAAAGCGAGCGCAGGUGGUUUAUUAAGUCUGGUGCAAAAGGCAGUGGCUCAACCAUUGUAUGCAUUGGAAACUGGUAGACUUGAGUGCAGGAGAGGAGAGUGGAAUUCCAUGUGUAGCGGUGAAAUGCGUAGAUAUAUGGAGGAACACCGGUGGCGAAAGCGGCUCUCUGGCCUGUAACUGACACUGAGGCUCGAAAGCGUGGGGAGCAAACAGGAUUAGAUACCCGGGUAGUCC